This 433-nucleotide ribosomal RNA is filed under the name uncultured bacterium. RNAcentral's name for it is "partial 16S ribosomal RNA". It matches the Rfam family "Bacterial small subunit ribosomal RNA", at positions 29 to 507 of the family's 1533-position model. The record is from RNAcentral.
AACGAACGCUGGCGGCAUGCCUAACACAUGCAAGUCGAACGAGACCUUCGGGUCUAGUGGCGCACGGGUGCGUAACGCGUGGGAACCUGCCUUUAGGUUCGGAAUAACUCAGAGAAAUUUGAGCUAAUACCGGAUGAUGUCUUCGGACCAAAGAUUUAUCGCCUUCAGAUGGGCCCGCGUUGGAUUAGCUAGUUGGUGGGGUAAAGGCCUACCAAGGCGACGAUCCAUAGCUGGUCUGAGAGGAUGAUCAGCCACACUGGGACUGAGACACGGCCCAGACUCCUACGGGAGGCAGCAGUGGGGAAUAUUGGACAAUGGGCGAAAGCCUGAUCCAGCAAUGCCGCGUGAGUGAUGAAGGCCUUAGGGUUGUAAAGCUCUUUUACCCGAGAUGAUAAUGACAGUAUCGGGAGAAUAAGCUCCGGCUAACUCCGUG